AGAGUUUGAUCCUGGCUCAGGAUGAUUUCUGGCGGCGUGCUUAACACACGCAAGUCGAGCGAAGCAUUUAAGUGGAUUCCUUCGGGAUGAAGGUUUUAUGACUUAGCGGCGGACGGGUGAGUAACGCGUGGGCAACCUGCCCCAUACCGGGGGAUAACAGCCGGAAACGGCUGCUAAUACCGCAUAAGCGCACGGUACCGCAUGGUACAGUGUGAAAAACUCCGGUGGUAUGGGAUGGGCCCGCGUUGGAUUAGCUAGUUGGCAGGGUAAAGGCCUACCAAGGCGACGAUCCAUAGCCGGCCUGAGAGGGUGGACGGCCACAUUGGGACUGAGAUACGGCCCAAACUCCUACGGGAGGCAGCAGUGGGGAAUAUUGCACAAUGGGGGAAACCCUGAUGCAGCGACGCCGCGUGAGCGAAGAAGUAUUUCGGUAUGUAAAGCUCUAUCAGCAGGGAAGAAAAUGACGGUACCUGACUAAGAAGCCCCGGCUAACUACGUGCCAGCAGCCGCGGUAAUACGUAGGGGGCAAGCGUUAUCCGGAUUUACUGGGUGUAAAGGGAGCGUAGACGGCGUAUCAAGUCUGAUGUGAAAGGCAGGGGCUCAACUCCUGGACUGCAUUGGAAACUGGUAUGCUCGAGUGCCGGAGGGGUAAGCGGAAUUCCUAGUGUAGCGGUGAAAUGCGUAGAUAUUAGGAGGAACACCAGUGGCGAAGGCGGCUUUCUGGACUGAAACUGACACUGAGGCACGAAAGUGUGGGGAGCAAACAGGAUUAGAUACCCUGGUAGUCCACACCGUAAACGAUGAGCACUAGGUGUCGGGGGCGCAAGUCCUCGGUGCCGGAGUUAACGCAUUAAGUGCUCCGCCUGGGGAGUACGUACGCAAGUAUGAAACUCAAAGGAAUUGACGGGGACCCGCACAAGCAGCGGAGCAUGUGGUUUAAUUCGAAGCAACGCGAAGAACCUUACCAGGGCUUGACAUCCCUCUGACAGGACUUUAAUCGGUUCCUUCUUCGGACAGAGGAGACAGGUGGUGCAUGGUUGUCGUCAGCUCGUGUCGUGAGAUGUUGGGUUAAGUCCCGCAACGAGCGCAACCCUUGUCAUUAGUUGCCAGCAGUAAGAUGGGCACUCUAAUGAGACUGCCGGGGAUAACUCGGAGGAAGGUGGGGAUGACGUCAAAUCAUCAUGCCCCUUAUGUUCUGGGCUACACACGUGCUACAAUGGUCGGUACAAAGAGCAGCGAGGCCGUGAGGCGGAGCAAAUCUCAAAAGCCGAUCCCAGUUCGGAUUGUAGGCUGCAACUCGCCUACAUGAAGUCGGAGUUGCUAGUAAUCGCAGAUCAGAAUGCUGCGGUGAAUGCGUUCCCGGGUCUUGCACACACCGCCCGUCA
Molecule: ribosomal RNA, 1385 nt
Filed under: uncultured bacterium
Lineage: Bacteria
Description: bacterial SSU rRNA
Rfam family: Bacterial small subunit ribosomal RNA
Source: RNAcentral